RNAcentral lists this ribosomal RNA (495 nucleotides) under uncultured bacterium. Its description in RNAcentral is "partial 16S ribosomal RNA". It matches the Rfam family "Bacterial small subunit ribosomal RNA", at positions 30 to 523 of the family's 1533-position model. The record is from RNAcentral.
AUUGAACGCUGGGGCAUGCCUUACACAUGCAAGUCGAACGGUAACAGGUCUUCGGAUGCUGACGAGUGGCGAACGGGUGAGAAUACAUCGGAACGUGCCUAGUAGUGGGGAUAACUACUCGAAAGAGUGGCUAAUACCGCAUGAGAUCUACGGAUGAAAGCAGGGGAUCGCAAGACCUUGUGCUACUAGAGCGGCCGAUGGCAGAUUAGGUAGUUGGUGGGAUAAAAGCUUACCAAGCCGACGAUCUGUAGCUGGUCUGAGAGGACGAUCAGCCACACUGGGACUGAGACACGGACCAGACUCCUACGGGAGGCAGCAGUGGGGAAUUUUGGAAGAUGGGCGCAAGCCUGAUCCAGCAAUGCCGCGUGCAGGAUGAAGGCCUUCGGGUUGUAAACUGCUUUUGUACGGAACGAAAAGCCCCGGGUUAAUACCCUGGGGUCAUGACGGUACCGUAAGAAUAAGCACCGGCUAACUACGUGCCAGCCGCCGCGGUAA